This 9505-nucleotide long non-coding RNA is filed under the name Homo sapiens (human). Its description in RNAcentral is "HSALNT0264405". Lineage: Eukaryota; Metazoa; Chordata; Mammalia; Primates; Hominidae. The record is from RNAcentral.
UCUUCCUCUCUCUUGUAAUUUAUUUGUAACACAUGAAUUUAAAUAGAUUACAACAGUGGUGAAUUCAUAUCACUUUCAAAAGUUAUCUUCCUUUUUGAAAGUUAAUAUUUUAGCCAGUAAUUAAACAUAAUUAGUGACUUUGUGAUCAGAUGUUCAUUUUCUUCCACUUAGCCAACGGGCGGCAUGUGGUGAAUUAAAAUAGCAGGUGGAAUUUUAGAACAGGUGACAGGUUCCUGAGCACCCACGAAGGUUAGAUUCAGAUGAUGGGCGCAGCUUUUCUUUAGUAUAGCAGAAACCUUGGGAUGCCUGGGAUGAAGACAAGGGAGAGCAGAGUAGGCAGAGAGCAACUGCCACCGUAAAGCCUGGACAAGUCUCAGAGCGAUAAAUCUGUUCAUUUAGGGCCCAACAUGAGUUUUUCUUUCUGAGAAGUAUAGCCCAAGUUAUGCAAAUCUGUUAGAUAUGAAAUCGCUCUUACAAAACAGCAUUUGGAUGAGUCCCAAGUAAACAAAUCAGACCCACGCAGAUCAAAUUUUCAUUAAAAUGCAUGAUUUUAAGAAUGGGGUGGGGGAAGGAAGCUGAGAAAUCAAAGGUGACUUUAACUACAUCUUAAAUUCAGUUUUUGCCCCAAGUCUAUGUUCUAUACAGCUUUCUGUUUUUCUUUUUAAAACGCCGAUCCCACCAAAUAAGCUAAUUGCGCUGAUGACAGCACAUUUGGUAAACGGUGGCCUACAGACCUCAGACGGCUCCUCUCUGCCUUAGUUCAGAUUUCUGUGAGCACCACAAGGCUGAAGGGAUCCUCUAAUUAUGGGUGGGAUUAGUGCUCAAUAGCCGAUGUGUUGCUCUUCGUGGCUUGCAGCCCUCGUGGUUUCUCUGCUCCUUAUGGUCACUGUGGCCACCUAGAAAUUCUUUUCAGGAGCAUAAUAACCGGAUCAGCUGCUGCAGGCUGGAGCCCGGCGGAACAAAGGGAGGCGGAGGGUGCUCCCACCGGCCUCUGCCUGCUCACAGAUCCCAGCGGGCACCCCCGGGGUCACAGCAGACAAAACCAGAGUCCAGCCCCAUUUGAUAGGGCUCCAUCCCACACGACCCACUGCCCCUACUUAAGGUCUGGGGGAUAGGCUCCAACAGCGUGCACUAUUUGCCAACAAAAGUACUAGCAGUGGAAAGAAAUACACACCCAGGCACUACAACACACAGGAAGACUCCUCUUGUUCAGUUUUCCCUUUCAGCUAUUACUCCCUGGAAAUCUUGAAGAUAGCUGUGAGAAGUUUAUUACUAAGCAUCAGUUUUUAAUAUUAAUCUUGUACCAGGAUCAUUUUAAUAAUCAUUAACGAGGAAACAGGAGGUGGUGGGCAUUUAUUUUAUUGUCAAGUGAGGCAGUUUCUUGUUCUGUUCAUCAUUCUUGAAGCUUCUCUUGCACCACCCGUUCCCUGAUGCCACAGUGUGGAGAGGUUUUCCCUAAGCAGCAUCUGGUCCCCUUGGAGGAUUCCACAGGCUUUUUGUCUCUUUCAGGUUUUCAAUAGUGGCCUCUGGGGGCGCCGGGGGGAGGAACCAUCUGGCCAGGCGUCACCUGGCCAGUUGGGCCUGCCUGGCCUCACGCUGCUCAGCAUUCCUCUGCAUCAAAUGGCUCAGUGCCUGCCGGGGACCUGGUCAAGUGCUGGACAAUGGGCCACAGAGCUUAGCACUGAGCCAAGAAUGUAGUGUUAAUAAGAACACUUUUUAUUCACAAUAAGGACAGAUAAUAUAGUUUGAGAAUGUGGGAUACUAAGCAACAAAAUUGGGUUUCAAUGUUGAUUCAUUUAUCUCCUAGCUGCGUGGCCUUAGGUGACUUACUUCAGAGUUGUGCUUCUGCAAAAGAAGAAAAAUAAUAACAACUGGAUUGUUGUGAGGUAUUAAUGAGACUACCCAGAUAUAAAGGUAUCACUUCUAUCAGGCAGGAAAGAAAGGGGACAUUUUAAUGGGUGAAUCAAGGAUUGUUUAGUAACAGCAGACAAGCAUGUUUGGCCCAUGUGCACAGCAAAUGCAUCAGAAAGCUGAUGUACCUGAAACCCAUAACUCAUACACGUUAGUGAAGAAAUGAAGAAAUAGCAGCUUCCUCACCCUGCACCAUCUCCCUGAGUUCCAGCAGGAUCCUCAACAGUUGCCCACAAUGAGAACUUGCUUGAUUACACACUCAUUAUUGGAUUUAGUCCCUUCCCUGUCUCACUUUGCUGCUUCUCUGUUGGUGCCUCCUGGGAUUAUCCCCGAAGUAAAUCAUACACACUACAGUCCUUAUCACAGGGCCUGCUUCUGGGAGAACCUACUGAAGACAAAACCCGCCGGCAUAGUCCAUGUGGGUCAGCCUCCCAUGGCAGAGAACAAGUGAAGAGAGGGUGCCUGGUCUGCUUCACACACUUCAGCUAGUAGUGUAAGCCUGGCAAUAACAAUUGUACAGUCGUUUCUUGAUUGUGUUCCUCUUUCACAACACUGCACAGUCAGCCACCCCAUUCCCUGAGGUUGACUUCUUGUGUUUAACUUUUUGACUUACUGGUAUCUACUGGGCCUUGGCACAGCAUUAUAUAUAUGUGUAGCAUUAUAUAUAUGUGUGUGUGGCUUCUGUAAGGAAUAGAUAGGAACCCAUUCUAGGUAAGAUGUGGGGUGAGUGGGGGGUAGGAAAUGGUAGAGUUGUAAAAAAGUAAAAUAUUAAUAAAAGUUGGAUGGCGUGUCUAAUAGAAAACAAAACCUUAGAACUUGAAUGAACACAUGUACAUUUCAAACCAUCAGUUAACAAUUGAGAGAGGGCUGGGAGGGUGAGGUCAAGAGAAAAAGGAAGCCUACUAAGCCUCCCUUAAAUUAAAAUAUAUAGGCAGUAAAUCCUCCCACCAAUACAAGAGGCCAGAUCUGCUGUAAAAACUAGAACCAGGUAUCCACAUGAAGUGAAAUCAAACCUGAUUUAUUGUAGCACAUCUGAACACUUCAGGUCCCAGUAAAAUCUCAGCAUAUUGUAUUAGAGUUAAAACGGAUUAGUAAAGGAUGAGAAGGGCUUCAAUAAAUUAUUUAUUAGAACACUAGUAACUUGAGGGCCUAUAAUGGGGACUGGCAUGUAGUUGGUACUUAGUAAAUAUUUAAUGUAUGGAUUGAUAGAUAGAUGAUUGGUUGAAUAGACAGGUUAGGAUAGCAGUAUAAAACCAAAAGGAACUUAACCGUACUCAUCCAUAAUCUUCUUUGUCCAAAACAAUCUUAACACUUUUCUCAUAGUGUGUGUGUGUGUAAGAUAUAUAUAUAUGCACAUACAUAGACACACACGUAUAUUACAUAAUAUUAAUAUAAAGUUGUUCCAUUGGCCAGAGCAAGCCACAUGGAUAAGCCCAGUGUUAAUGUAGGAGGGUGCAACAGAGUAUUUUACAAGGAAGCAUUCAUCGAUUAAAGCCAUGAUUACACCAAGAGAGGAGUCCCUCCUUUCUCCUGUGCAGUGAAGACUUCUGAGGCCUGAACCUACCACCUCAGGGUUCUUCACCUCCUGAAAGGCAGGAUGAGUUUCAUCCUGAAGGAGGUCUGGAUGGAGUGUCCAAAUGAUAAGUGAAUUUCUGGAAAACUAACCCAUACCUCCUGAAAUAGAAUUUCCAAGAAAGAGCCUCAAAAUCUCUAUUUUAAUUAAGCAUAGACAGGUGAGGGAGCAGGUACGUAUGCUUCUACAGGUUUCCAUUUCAAUACGGGAAUUAGGCCCAGUGAUUUUGAGGCUGAUUACAAGUGUCCCUUAUCUGUGUGAUCACUUAGUGUUGUUAACUGGCAUGUCUUUUACAGGAACAUCAAAGACCCUGAGAAGCCAAAAGUUAUGAAAUGCAUCAGCAGUGGGUUGAAGACAAGACCUCUCCUUUUCCUGCUGACAUUUCUUCCAUGAGCAGUACCCAGACAGCCGACAGAAAGAGCCCAGGAGGUAACUGGGGACAUGAGAUGAAAACUCAAGAUGCAAGGGUAUCCCAUCUUUUGGCUUCCUUGGGCCACAUUGGAAGAAGAAGAAUUAUCUUGGGCCAUGCAGGAAAUACACUAACAAUAACUGAUGAGCUAAAAAAAAUCACCAAAAAAUCUGAUAAUGUUUUAAGAAAGUUUACAAAUUUGUGUUAGGCCACAUUCAAAGCAAUCCUGGGCUGCCUGUGGCCUAUGGGCCACGGGCUGGACACGCUUGCAAGGGAGAGGACAGAUAAAGAUACGUAUGAGAGCAUCCUCCUUAGAGAAAGGUCAGUGUUGAAGUCAUAGGGUAAGGGAACUCUUUCAAAAGAAAGUAAAAAAAAAAAAAAAAGAUAGCGAAGUAAAUCAUGUGAAGUCUCUACAGAGUAAGGGCCAAAGGGAGGACACAGUAGCUUAAAAUCACAAUAUUGUUUUUGUUCCUAUUUUUGUUUUUCUCAUAAAGCUACAGGUCAGCUGGACAGCUCGCUCUUGGGUCCUCACAAAGCUACUGGUCAGCUGGGCAGCUCAGCUGGGUCCUCAUCAAUGAACCAGGGUUGGCUGAUUUUAGCUGGGCUCACUCAAUUUUCUAGAGUCCACUGGUCUGUCUGCUGCAGUGUGGCUGAUCUAGGACAGCCCUGGCCUUGGUGACCUGGCUCUGCUGCACGAUGCAGCCAUCCUCUAGCAGGCUAGCCUAUCACAGCAAAACAGAAGCACAAAAGAGAGAUCAGGAAAACGCAUAGCUUCUUAAGGCCUAGGCCCUAAACUGGUGCAUCACUUACUUCUUGGCAACAUUCUGGUGGCCAAAGGAAGUCACAUGUCCAACCCCAGACUCUAAAGGAGGGAAAAGAGACCCGAUGCCUUAAUGGGAGUAAAGUCACAUUGCAAAAGGCAAGGAUCCCAAAAAUGUUUCAAAAAAAAUUGGAGGCCAUCUUUGCAAUCAAAGUUAGAUUAUUCUCAAUGGUAAAAGUUGGAACCACAAUAUUAUUGUUACCUUCAAAGAGUACACCUAGCUGAAUCCCCCAGUCAAUGCAGGAAUUCCCCCAAAUUAAACACACACACACACACACACACAUACACAUAAACCCUCAAAGAUUCCCACAACUUGACCAUUUGACCUAGCUUUUCUCACUGGGUAAAAAAAGCAAGAGGGAAAAAAAAACCACUGCAGCUCUCUCCCACCCCUGCUGUUCAGCCUUCAGUUUAUCUGGCCUCUGCUAUGAGUCACAGCUGACUGAAGGGUGGGGGUGGGUUGUGAGUCAUGGCCUAAAACAAAGAUAGAAUUUGAUGGGGGUGGACGAGCAGGCGAGAGAGAAGACACGGCAAGUUCAGGCAUUCUCUCAGUGUUUAGGGUGAUGUCUUCUUUCCUGCAGCUGGGGAAGUUGGGCAGAGUGCCCCCGAAGGAGGAGAUUCCACACAGGCCCUGUGUAUCUGAGAGUUGAGUUGCUGAUUUCAGAGGUGUUUGUAUCAUUGCUCUAAAUGUGUUUCUGCUCCCCUCCCACCCAAGAUGCUGGUUCAACGGACCAUUUCAUCCUACCAUUAUACAGAACCCACAGGAGCUAGUUACCUGGUCAGUUUGAGAAGUUAAUAUUUAAAAAGACUAAUGGUUGCAUAUGGCUUCCACAGGAAAGAAAUAAUAAGCUAAUGUUAUCUAUUGACUCAAUCCCACAUAUAUUUACAUUUGACAACUUAAAAAAAAAACCUUCGGCUCAAUGAUAGUUUAGCUCAAGUCACUAUGUUAGGAUAUAUAUUUCUUUCAUCUAUGACUAUUUUUGUCUGCACAGUAACCUGCCUCAAGCACACAAAUAUUUGUGUGUCUGGCCUCAAGCAAUUAACGUGUCUCCUAACAUGAGAUAAAGAUUAAAUGAAAAUUCUGUCACCCUGAAAUAAACCUGGAAGCAGAAUUCCUGAAUGUUUGCCAAAUAAGGUGACUAUCAGACUUAAGAUGCUGAACUUUGAAAUGACUGUCAUAGAAACAAAGGCAAGGCAUGGUUGGCGCCCAUUCAACCUGGUCAAUAACAUCCUUAAUUACAGGACAUGGCAUCAUUUUGAUUCACAGUGGAAUAAAAGGCAUCUAUUUGUAUAUUUGGAAGUCUGAAUGAGGAUUUCCUGAUGAAGUCAUUUCUGUCUUACAACAGCUUCGCUUGUACCAGUAGAGUUAAAACUGGGUCACCAUUUUUAUGCGAGCGUAUGGAUACACAUACAUCCACACUCGAACCCCAAACACACACACACACACACACACACACUUCAUUUCAGAGUCUAAUUAAAACUCUAUUAUACAUAAUUUUCUUCCAGAUCAAUGGUGGUGUUGGAUCAAAAUUGUAGCUCACAAGGAAAAUCCUGUAAAGGAACCAUAUUUUUCUGUGUUGCCUGCCAAAAUGAGAACAUCAUUUGUUAAAUAAUGUGGGACACAGGUGCCCCGGAUGUACUAUUUAAUGGAGAAAGAAAAAGAGAGAAACAAUGGCUGCCAGUAUCCGGGAAAAAUGCGACUAGCUUCUUAAGCUUCUUCACCCAGAAAUUGUUACAAAUAGAAGGGAAUCUGACUUUGAGCUAUGAGUUGUUGCUUCCCCAUGACUGAAUUCCCCAAGAACUGAGUUAUUACUGACCUGUGAUUUGCUCAUCAUAAGGUCUCACUGUUAAUUACUGCUCUCUGCUCCGCAGAAACUUUGAAUUCCACCAAAGGGUGUGCCGAAGGCUUAGAUGUUGAGAAGCGUGAAUUCAUCCUGCACAACAAAUAUCAUAGAGAUGGGACUGGAGCGGGGGACAAGAAGGGGGAGAAUGAACAAGAUGCAUGUUGCAAAACCCCAAGGGGUGCUAUUUGUAUGGUAGCCUGAGUGAACAGCAAUUUCCCUGAGGGGUGGUUGCAGCAGAUACUGUGGGUACCAUCUCUACAUCUCUUACUCCUUACUCGUUCCUGCCUUACUCCUUCAGGGCAGAGCAGCCCAACUUACUCUUUGCCUAAGGACAGUCUCUGGUAUCUAAGUCUAGGUUAGCCACUCAUGGCAGGCCAGAUGAAUGAUUGCUAGGAGUCUUGCAUAUACACCCGGUUUCCUUGCCACUUGGAUAGGAUAAAGGUGCUUCACCCCAUUUUCCAGCAGUCUCCAGCAAGUCUAGGUUCCACUUGCUCACAGCAGUAGCUGAUUUUGUGAAACAUCCUUUCUGGGCUGCCUUCCUUUCUCUCUCUCCCUUUCCCUCUCCCAUCUCUGAUUUUCUUCUACUUCCCCCAAUAUAUUAAUAUUAUCUCAGGGAUGGCUUUUGGGAACCCCAAUCAAAGAAAGGAGCAAACUCAAUUAAGACCCUCUGUUUUAGGUAACUUUGGGAACCUGGUGGAGCAUCCUGACAUUACAUCCUGAACCAGAGUAUGUCUCAAGAUAUUUUUGGAUCCUGCUUUUGUGGAGACAGAAUCCACAACACAGCAGAGAGUUCCUCACUCCAAGAGGUACAUUCUUCUUACUGUCUGGUUCACUCCCUAGACACAUGCCAGCUUGACCAUCAUACAGAGCAGCCCCCAGGAUGAAGGCAAACUUCUAUCUGGAGUCUGAUCUUUCCAAGAUAGGGCUGAAUCAACUUAGCUCUUUUUUCUUGUGGCUCAUUGCUGCUUUCCAGAUUGAGAAUAGCCUCAGAUUUCUUUCUGGCUUCCAUAUACCAUGCAUCCUAUUGCUUUGCUUAUACUCUUACCCCCCAAUGUCAAAAUAGUCCUGAAGUGUAUACCAGAUCAUGUCACACAUAUGCAGAACUGAUCAUGUCAGUUCAACCUUGGCUCCAAGAAUAAAGCUGUAAGUCCUAUAACCACAAGGCCUUAGGGUGACUUGAUUCCUGAAGGCUACUCCAAUAUCAUUUCUUCUCAUUUUCCUCAUCACACCUUGCCUUUCUUUGAACGUGGUGACAUAUUCCUGCUGCAGAAUUUUGCAUUGGCUGUUUCCUCUAUCUGGUGCACUCUUUUUAUUGAAGGUGCACUCUUACCUAACCUAACUCAUGCUUUUGUGCAAAUGUCACCAUCUCAGACAGGCCUUUGCUAACCAUCCCAGCACCCCUUUAAUUUAUUAUUGCUUACUUUAAUUGUUUCUCUUUAUAGCUGUCAGCACCAACUGACAUUAUAUGUACUCGUUUGGCUGGUUUUUGUUAGUCUUUCCAUGACAAUGUAAGCGCCACUGGCUCAUCACUAACAUCAUGUGCCUGGCACACAGAAAGUACUCAAUUAAUAUUUAUAUGGUUGCUGAAUUAAUAUAUGGUGUUACCUUUAAAGAGAAGCGAAGUAAUCUGUAAAUGCUUUUACUAAAAUAAUCAUUUACCUGCAGACUAGGUAUUUUAAAAUAUAGUCUAUUUCCUGUUAUAGAUUGAUUUAUUUUUAAAGUAUUGUCUCCUUACUCUUUAAAGAUACAUUUUCCCUGUUUUCCAAAUUAGUUAUUUUUUCUUUUUGAUUAUUCAUUCCCAAGUUAGGAGAAUGUCUAAAACUUGAGAUGUACUGACUGACAAAUUAACUAACAAAGAACAGAAAUAUAUACCUCAAAUUGCACUGCUAUCAUCUAUGAUCAUUUAUUUAUUCAGCAGAUAUUAAUUGAGCGUUUACUAUAUCUCAGACACCGCUGUACAUAUUCAGAGAAUACAACAGCCAAAGAUUUCUCACCUCAAAGAACUUAUACAGAAAAGACACGCAAUAAAAUGUAAACAUGAUAAAUGAAUUAUUUUAUUUUAUUUUAUUUUAUUUUUGAGACAGAGUUUUGCACUUGUUGCCCAGGCUGGAGUGCAAUGGCGUGAUCUCGGCUCACCGCAACCUCUGCCUCCCGGGUUCAAGCGAUUCUCCUGCCUCAGCCUCCCAAGUAGCUGGGAUCAUAGGCAUGCGCCACUAUGCCCAGUUAAUUUUUUGUAUUUUUAGUAGAGAUGGGGUUUCACCAUGUUGGCCAGGUUGGUCUGAAACACCCGACCUCAGGUCAUCAGCCCACCUCGGCCUCCCAAAGUGCUGGGAUUACAGGCGGGAGCCACUGCACCUGACUGAUAAAUGAAUUAUUUAAUGUGUUUGAAGGAUACACUAGGGUGGUCAGGGGAGGCUUCACUAAGUUGACUUCUGGGCAGAGCUUGAAUUAGUGAGUGUGAAUGUGAAGCCAUGUGCAUACAUGUGGGAGGAGCACUCUAGACAAAGAGCAAGGCCAAGGCAGAGGUUCUGAGGUGGGAGCAUGCCAAGCUUGUUAUAGAGGGCAAGCUGCAGGCUGCUGAGCAAGGAGGAAGAGGGGUAGGAGAUGAAACCAAAGAAGAAUCAGGAAAGCAGGCCAUGUAGGCCCCUGGAAGCAUUAAAAGGACCUUGAUUUUCACAUAUGCCAAUAAUUGUUAAAAGGCAAUAAUAAUAGCUGUUGCCACCACAUUCGACUACAUAGUAUUCCCUGCUUGUUCCAUAUAAAGUUACUCCAUGUAAAUACAGACCCUGUGAUCACUCUUGUUGAUAAUGAUUUUAUUGUAUUAUUGUUUCUCUAUAAGGUGACUGCUGUUACAUUUUUCUUAAUUACACAGCAGUGAAACACUUCAUUGAUAAUAAAUACAAAGGAGAAAAAAUAAUUUAUAAAAUAAAAAUAGAGGUUUAAUAAAU